This 496-nucleotide ribosomal RNA is filed under the name uncultured bacterium. RNAcentral describes it as "partial 16S ribosomal RNA". It matches the Rfam family "Bacterial small subunit ribosomal RNA", at positions 28 to 506 of the family's 1533-position model. The record is from RNAcentral.
GAUGAACGCUGGCGGCGUGCCUAAUACAUGCAAGUCGAGCGAACUGACGUUAAUCUUGCUUCUCUGCUGUUACCUGCGUUCGUGUGAUUCACACUUUGUUAACCUACCUAUUAGACUCGGAUCACUUCUGUAAACCGGAGCUCUUACCGGAUAAUAUUUUGAACCGCAUGGUUCAUCAGUUCUAGACGGUCUUGCUGUCACUUAUACAUUUAUCCUCGCUGCAUUUGCUAGUUGGUAAGGUAACGGCUUACCAAGGCAACGAUGCAUAGCCGACCUGUGAGGGUGAUCGGCCACACUGGAACUGAGACACGGACCAGAGUACUACGGGAGGCAGCAGUAGGGAAUCUUCAGCAAUGGGCGAAAGCAUAACGGAGCAACGCCGAGGGAGUAAUGAAGGUCUUCGGAUCGUAAAACUCUGUUAUUAGGAAAGAACAUAUGUGUAAGUAACUGUGCACAUCUUGAAGGUACAUAAUCAGAAAGCCACGGCUAACUACGU